AUUGAACGCUGGCGGCAGGCCUAACACAUGCAAGUCGAACGGUAACAGAAAGCAGCUUGCUGCUUUGCUGACGAGUGGCGGACGGGUGAGUAAUGUCUGGGAAACUGUCUGAUGGAGGGGGAUAACUACUGGAAACGGUAGCUAAUACCGCAUAACGUCGCAAGACCAAAGAGGGGGACCUUCGGGCCUCUUGCCAUCGGAUGUGCCCAGAUGGGAUUAGCUAGUAGGUGGGGUAACGGCUCACCUAGGCGACGAUCCCUAGCUGGUCUGAGAGGAUGACCAGCCACACUGGAACUGAGACACGGUCCAGACUCCUACGGGAGGCAGCAGUGGGGAAUAUUGCACAAUGGGCGCAAGCCUGAUGCAGCCAUGCCGCGUGUAUGAAGAAGGCCUUCGGGUUGUAAAGUACUUUCAGCGGGGAGGAAGGGAGUAAAGUUAAUACCUUUGCUCAUUGACGUUACCCGAAGAAGAAGCACCGGCUAACUCCGUG
This 490-nucleotide ribosomal RNA is filed under the name uncultured bacterium. RNAcentral's name for it is "partial 16S ribosomal RNA". It matches the Rfam family "Bacterial small subunit ribosomal RNA", at positions 30 to 507 of the family's 1533-position model. The record is from RNAcentral.